This 589-nucleotide ribosomal RNA is filed under the name uncultured fungus. Its description in RNAcentral is "eukaryotic LSU rRNA". It matches the Rfam family "Eukaryotic large subunit ribosomal RNA", at positions 37 to 652 of the family's 3401-position model. The record is from RNAcentral. Lineage: Eukaryota; Fungi.
AGCAUAUCAAUAAGCGGAGGAAAAGAAACCAACAGGGAUUGCCCUAGUAACGGCGAGUGAAGCGGCAACAGCUCAAAUUUGAAAUCUGGCUUCGGCCCGAGUUGUAAUUUGCAGAGGAAGCUUUAGGCGCGGCACCUUCUGAGUCCCCUGGAACGGGGCGCCAUAGAGGGUGAGAGCCCCGUAUAGUUGGAUGCCUAGCCUGUGUAAAGCUCCUUCGACGAGUCGAGUAGUUUGGGAAUGCUGCUCAAAAUGGGAGGUAAAUUUCUUCUAAAGCUAAAUACCGGCCAGAGACCGAUAGCGCACAAGUAGAGUGAUCGAAAGAUGAAAAGCACUUUGAAAAGAGGGUUAAAUAGCACGUGAAAUUGUUGAAAGGGAAGCGCUUGUGACCAGACUUGCGCCGGGCAGAUCAUCCGGUGUUCUCACCGGUGCACUCUGCCCGGCUCAGGCCAGCAUCGGUUCUCGCGGGGGGAUAAAGGCCCUGGGAACGUAGCUCCUCCGGGAGUGUUAUAGCCCGGGGCGUAAUGCCCUCGCGGGGACCGAGGUUCGCGCAUCUGCAAGGAUGCUGGCGUAAUGGUCAUCAGCGACCCGU